GAUGAACGCUGGCGGCGUGCCUAACACAUGCAAGUCGAACGGAGAUUACGGACGGAAGUUUUCGGAUGGAAGACUGUAAUUCUUAGUGGCGGACGGGUGAGUAACGCGUGGGCAACCUGCCCUAUACAGGGGGAUAGCAGCUGGAAACGGCUGGUAAGACCGCAUAAGUCGGCGAGACCGCAUGGUUUUGCCGGGAAAUGAGCAAUCAGGUAUAGGAUGGGCCCGCGUCCGAUUAGCCAGUUGGCAGGGUAAAAGCCUACCAAAGCAACGAUCGGUAGCCGGACUGAGAGGUCGGACGGCCACAUUGGGACUGCGACACGGCCCAAACUCCUACGGGAGGCAGCAGUGGGGGAUAUUGCACAAUGGAGGAAACUCUGAUGCAGCGACGCCGCGUGAGUGAAGAAGUAUUUCGGUAUGUAAAGCUCUAUCAGCAGGGAAGAUGAUGACGGUACCUGACGAAGAAGCCCCGGCUAACUACGUG
This 481-nucleotide ribosomal RNA is filed under the name uncultured bacterium. Its description in RNAcentral is "partial 16S ribosomal RNA". It matches the Rfam family "Bacterial small subunit ribosomal RNA", at positions 28 to 507 of the family's 1533-position model. The record is from RNAcentral.